Silurus meridionalis is the source of this 430-nucleotide long non-coding RNA. RefSeq lists it as uncharacterized. The transcript is spliced from 2 exons. The record is from RefSeq and is a predicted model, not a curated record. Lineage: Eukaryota; Metazoa; Chordata; Actinopteri; Siluriformes; Siluridae.
GAAACACAGAGCUCAGUGAAUAGAACUGGUCUUCUCAUUUCCAGACAACUUGUAACAAAGACUUCACCAUGAGAAUCAUAAAAUAGGUGGAUGAAGGAGGAUAAGGUGCGAGCGGGGCUCUGAGCCGAGUCGAGACGAGACGAGCUCUGGGAGCAGCGUGUGCAGAGUGUGCGAGGUGGGAUGAUAAAGGUAAAGGGCAGGCAGUAGCAGGACCUCCAGUGAAGGGCCAUUAAUCUACUGGGGUGUGUGUGCCACUGACUGCCUGACCGUUAUAGCCACACAAAGCCAUCGCCUUGACCCUAAAGCAGAAGUAGCCCUGCAGAUGUGCUGAAAAAGCAGCCAGAUAAAUCAGAAUCGGCUUCCAGGAGCACUACGGGGAUGAUCGGCCGGAGCCGAGUAGAAAGCACGCCAUUAAAACGGGUUGCAUCCA